GGAUUAGAUACCCUGGUAGUCCACGCCGUAAACGAUGUCUACUAGGAGCUCGGCUUUUCGGAGCUGUUUUCCAAAGCAAACGCAUUAAGUAGACCGCCUGGGGAGUACGGCCGCAAGGUUAAAACUCAAAUGAAUUGACGGGGGCCCGCACAAGCGGUGGAGCAUGUGGUUUAAUUCGAUGCAACGCGAAGAACCUUACCUACACUUGACAUCCAGAGAACUUUCUAGAGAUAGAUUGGUGCCUUCGGGAACUCUGAGACAGGUGCUGCAUGGCUGUCGUCAGCUCGUGCCG
This 292-nucleotide ribosomal RNA is filed under the name uncultured bacterium. Its description in RNAcentral is "partial 16S ribosomal RNA". It matches the Rfam family "Bacterial small subunit ribosomal RNA", at positions 775 to 1067 of the family's 1533-position model. The record is from RNAcentral.